GUUUUUCUAAAAGGUUGUCUUAAGUUGAUUACAUAUAAGCAGAGAUACAUUGCAUACUGCAGUUAGAUACUUAAGAGUUUGGCAGAACAAAAGUGUUCCAGGAUACUAAAUCCCU
Molecule: non-coding RNA, 115 nt
Organism: Tinamus guttatus (white-throated tinamou)
Lineage: Eukaryota; Metazoa; Chordata; Aves; Tinamiformes; Tinamidae
Source: RefSeq, a predicted model, not a curated record